This 501-nucleotide long non-coding RNA is filed under the name Hordeum vulgare. RNAcentral describes it as "long non-coding RNA (HVUL_LNC014130)". Lineage: Eukaryota; Viridiplantae; Streptophyta; Magnoliopsida; Poales; Poaceae. The record is from RNAcentral.
UGCGUCCGCUGCUGCUACAGAGGAAGUAACCGGUGAAACAGUAGCGAGCGCAGUGGAUGCAAAGAACCACUUCGUGGGCGUGGGAGGCAUGAAGGACCAAUCGGGCGUGAUGGAGCUGCUCGAUGGUUGCUACUACAUGAGCUUUGACACCAACGGCGUUGGUGUUUCCAUCGGCAUCACGAUCCAGCUCGUUGGGGUUGGAGGCAGCGUAGAGACCAUCGGCCAGAUUCCCAGUGCUAGGUGAUAAAAUGGUCGCCCAUUAGGAUAGUUUGUAAGCGCCAUGUGUCCUGUUUGGUGGGCUUGGAAGUGGGUAUGGCGCCAGAGGUGCUAACAGCGUGCGUCAUGCCAUGAGCUACGGUACCGUGUGAGACGUGUAAAGUCAUAUGCCCAUGAGUUGUUUGUCUACGUGCAUUUCUGAAUAUCCAUGCACUUAUGCGUGGGUGCGCUGACUUUGUUUAACUGUUUGUCUAGUACUCCUUCCGUAAAGAAAUAUAAAAGAUU